Molecule: long non-coding RNA, 607 nt
Organism: Capsella rubella
Lineage: Eukaryota; Viridiplantae; Streptophyta; Magnoliopsida; Brassicales; Brassicaceae
Exons: 3
Source: RefSeq, a predicted model, not a curated record
UUGCAGCUGCUGAAUGGUGAAGAAUGGGACCUGUCUCUCCAGCACGAUUAGGGAUUCUGAAUGGUGAAGAAUGGGACCUGUGUCUCCAGCACGAGUAGGGGUACAAUCUAGAUGGUUAAGCAUAUAUCCCAAUUGAGGCUAUCAAUUGUUAGGCGGAGCUAAAGGAGUACUAUUAAGGUACAUUAUUUGCUUAAACUUUUAUCUUACUACCAAGAAUAAAGUAGUUGACGGUACAUAGUAUUGAGGGAAAGAUAUAUUUUAUUAAAACUCCAAGUACUUUAUUUGAAAAAUGGGAAAAAAAAGUGUAUGAAAACAACACUUAUUCAGGAAUUUGUAACAACCAAAAUAGUUUGCAAACUUGGAGAUAGGGGCCUCCUAACAUAAUUAGAAGGUUUUAUUUUUAUCAUACUACGACAACAGUAGUAAACCUACUUCUUCUCUACCUUGAUCUUCACUCCAACCAUAGCUUUGGCUCCAUUGUUCUCAGUUUUGGGAACACCUUUUCCGGUAGUGACUUCGACCUUGUUCACAUAAUCUGCUUUUCUUUCAAAAUCACCUUCAGUGUUAGCUUCAUCAACAGGAUCUUGUAGUUCAUUGUCCUUGUUAA